UUCGCUCUUCGAAUCGCCUCUUGCCACCUGCCAUUUUCUCGGACAGUUUCUCUCGGCAUUUGUGCUUUUCUUGAGCUUUUUCACAACAUUCUCGUGGAAUAUUGCCUUUAUUUAUUGCCUUGGCUUGUGUGAAUCUUUGUCACUACCGAGGUCUUUUCGAAAUUAAACGGAGCGGAGAAAAAAAAAACGGAGAACGGAGAAAAUAUCAUAAAUUUGCGGAUUUUCAGCUUCGGCUUUUUUAAUCUCUUUACUGGUUCGAACUUAAUUGAUUUUCGGGCUAAAAAUUUGAUUCGGCUCGAUGCACCAUGUUUUGCAUGGGGAACCAUGCGACGGCCCAAAAAUACCCUAAACCAAAUAAGACGAACACAGUGUUAUAAGACGCCGAUAUUUAUUGCUGUCUUUAAUAAACGAAUAUAAACAAAAGGGACGAAAACUUGAGAACGGGGUUACGAACGACAACACUGUCGAACUAAAAACGAGACUGAAUUAUAUCCGAGGCGCUUGGCCUAAACUUCGAGUAUGAUGUGCAGGUGCGCGUGAUGUGCAGGUACAGUAGUCUCAAAUGGCGGGUGUUCAAAUCGUCCUUUGUCCAAACAGCUUGUUGCGGCGACUUAUAAAUAUAUUUAUGAGUGGAAUAACGGAAUAAGAUGGGAACAAAUACUAAUUAAAAGAGUCGUGAAAGGAGUGAUUAAUAUAAUCACUACGAAUUCGCGACACUGUGCUCUUCGGAGUGCUGCGCACCACGGCCCUAUACGUGUCACUUGUGACUGUGUAGAGGUUGAGCAGUUGGCAAACGACCCGAAAGAUGGUGAACUAUGCCUGAGCAGGAUGAAGCCAGAGGAAACUCUGGUGGAAGUCCGUAUCGGUUCUGACGUGCAAAUCGAUCGAUAGACUUGGGUAUAGGGGCGAAAGACUAAUCGAACCAUCUAGUAGCUGGUUCCUUCCGAAGUUUCCCUCAGGAUAGCUGGAUCUCUGGCAGUUAUAUUCGGUAAAGCUAAUGAUUAGAGGCCUUGGGGGCGUAAUGCCCUCAACCUAUUCUCAAACUUUCAAUGGAUAUGAAGUUGCAGUUUCUUUAGUGAACUGACAACGUGAAUGCGAGGUCCAAGUGGGCCAUUUUUGGUAAGCAGAACUGGCGCUGUGGGAUGAACCAAACGUGGAGUUAAGGUGCCUAACUUCUCGCUCAUGAGACCCCAUAAAAGGUGUUGGUUGAUAUUGACAGCAGGACGGUGGCCAUGGAAGUCGGUAUCCGCUAAGGAGUGUGUAACAACUCACCUGCCGAAUCAACUAGCCCUGAAAAUGGAUGGCGCUUAAGCGAGAGACCUAUACUCCACCGUUGCGACAUGUGCGUUGUCUAGCGCCAGGUCGUAACGAGUAGGAAGGUCGUGGCGGUUGCGUUGAAGGCUAUGAGCGUGAGCUCGGCUGGAGCUUCCGUCAGUGCAGAUCGUAAUGGUAGUAGCAAAUAUUCAAGUUCGAUCCUUGAAGACUGAAGUGGAGAAGGGUUCCACGUGAACAGUAGUUGGAUGUGGGUCAGUCGAUCCUAAGGUACUGGCGAACGCCUUGUAUCAUCGGUGGCGAAAAGCUUGCUUUUGGUCCCCGUUUGUCGAAAGGGAAUAGGGUUAAUAUUCCCUAACUGAGAUGCAAAGAUUGUGUUCUUCGGAGCACAAGCGCGGUAACGCAUUCGAACUUGGUUAGUCGCUCAAAGACCGAGCUAGAGUUUUCUUCUCUAGUUAAGGAACGGACUCCCUGGAAUUGGUUCAGCCAGAGAUGGGGACGUUGUUUCCGAAAAGCACCGCGGUUUCUGUGGUGUCUCGUGCUCUUUGAACGGCCCUUAAAACACCAAGGGAGGCUAUUAAUUUGCACUCAAUCGUACCGAUAUCCGCAUUAGGUCUCCAAGGUGAACAGCCUCUAGUCGAUAGAAUAAUGUAGGUAAGGGAAGUCGGCAAACUAGAUCCGUAACUUCGGGAAAAGGAUUGGCUCCAGUGGUCGGAACGAUUGGCCAGUUGGUUGAUGCUUGUCCGGCGCUAUUCUGUCUGUUUGAUGCUUUCGGGCUGAUAGCGGACUAGUGAUAGUGCUUGCUUGCGGACGCUUUCUGGUGUGUGCUUGAACCUCGGUUCUAGUAUCCUGAUCGCUCAUCUAAACGACCGAACUGGAACCGGUACGGACUCAGGGAAUCCGAAUGUCUAAUUAAAACAGAGGUGACAGAUGGUCCUCGCGGACGUUGACUGUCACUGAUUUCUGCCCAGUGCUCUGAGUGUUAAAUCGUAGUAAUUCGAGUAAGCGCGGGUAAACGGCGGGAGUAACUAUGACUCUCUUAAGGUAGCCAAAUGCCUCGUCAUUUAAUUGUUGACGCGCAUGAAUGGAUUAACGAGAUUCCUACUGUCCCUAACUACUAUCUAGCGAAACCACAGCCAAGGGAACGGGCUUGGCAAAAAUAGCGGGGAAAGAAGACCCUGUUGAGCUUGACUCUAGUUUGACAUUGUGAAGAGUCAUGAGAGGUGUAGCAUAGGUGGGAGACUUCGGUCGCCAGUGAAAUACCACCACUUUCAUCGACUCUUUACUUAUUCGGUUAAAAGAGAAUUGGCCUCACGGCCUUUUUUCGAAGCUUUAAGCGGAGCCAUUUUAUGGCACCGUGACUCUCCUCGAAGACAGUGUCAAGCGGGGAGUUUGACUGGGGCGGUACAUCUAUCAAAUCGUAACGUAGGUGUCCUAAGGCGAGCUCAGAGAGGACGGAAACCUCUCGUAGAGCAAAAGGGCAAAAGCUUGCUUGAUCUUGACUUUCAGUACGAGUACAGACCGCGAAAGCGUGGCCUAUCGAUCCUUUUAAUCCUGAUUGUUUCAGGUAAGAGGUGUCAGAAAAGUUACCACAGGGAUAACUGGCUUGUGGCAGCCAAGCGUCCAUAGCGACGUUGCUUUUUGAUCCUUCGAUGUCGGCUCUUCCUAUCAUUGCGAAGCAGAAUUCGCCAAGCGUUGGAUUGUUCACCCACUAAUAGGGAACGUGAGCUGGGUUUAGACCGUCGUGAGACAGGUUAGUUUUACCCUACUGUUGACUUGUUAUUGCGAAAGUAAUCCUGCUUAGUACGAGAGGAACAGCGGGUUCAAACAUUUGGUUCAUAGACUUGAUCGACAGAUCAAUGGUCUGAAGCUACCAUUUGAGAGAUUAUAACUGAACGCCUCUAAGUUAGAAUCUCGCCUUGUCAAGGCGAAAAUUUCUUGCUUCCCGAUGUCGGGAGGCAUCUCUAUCUCGUGGCAACACACGACCUUUUGCCUCUUCUGUCCUUUAAACUUAGUCUACGGGACUAAAUAACACAUUUUGAAUCAUUUCUUAAAACUUCUGCUGAGAUUAUCCCUGGAGUGGUGCAAAUUCUACCCCAUUUUU
Molecule: ribosomal RNA, 3376 nt
Filed under: Caenorhabditis brenneri
Lineage: Eukaryota; Metazoa; Nematoda; Chromadorea; Rhabditida; Rhabditidae
Description: eukaryotic LSU rRNA
Rfam family: Eukaryotic large subunit ribosomal RNA (bases 554-3376)
Source: RNAcentral